GAUGCUGGGAAAAAAAGCCACUUUCUAAAGCUCCCUGACAACUGUCAGAGGGCAGGAGCUUCCUGGGAGGGGACAGUGACCCUUCGGCCCUGCAGCCCUGGUUCGGUGGCUUUUCUGAUGCCAUGGCUGGAGGUUUCCCGGCCUCAGACAGGCCAGAGGUGUGGAGCCCGCAGACCCAGGGCCGGCUCACGGGCAUCUGUGCUAUUUUGAUUUGAUUUGAUUUGAGUUUUAGGUCACGUUUGCACGCAGUUAAUAAUUCAAGCCGUGCAGGAGUAAAAGCCGACUCCUUCCCCGCAGGGUCUCCAGGUGUCCCGGGUCUCCCUGUCCCAAUAGUCGAGUGUCUUUCUCGAGUUGGUGACAACAAGCUGCAUGCCAGCGUGUGUGUCCAGCUUACAGUGGGGAUGUGUUUGUUCCUGCUGGGGAACUUCCCAGACGCCAGGCCCACCCGGGGCCUCCCCUGCCCUGGGUGGUCGGCCGUUCUGCCCCCAGGACUGAGGCUGGAGGGGACAUUCCUGCCAGCCCGGGGCCCAUCCCCUGGUGCCAUCAUUCGGUCCCCACGUCCCCUGCUGUUCCCUGUGCUCUGGCUCAGGGUGGGAUUCACAGUGAGGGUCCUGGGGGCCCUGACCCUCCUGGUUUCCUCAUUUGUGCAGGGUGCACGAUCCUAACGGCGUCAGCUCCUACAGCGUUUCCGGGAGUGGAGACAGCAGAGGCUCUGAGCCGCCACAUGGGCCGGGGCCACCGUGAGCAUGUGGCUGGGGUUGGUCUGUGUCAGUGCCUAUUCCCCAGCUGUGUGCAGUGAGAGUCUCAGAGUCGGGGAACUGAGGGUCUCAGGGGGCACAGCCCCCACUCCGUGAGGCAGAUGUUCGAGGCCUGCACCUGCGCCCCCCACAGAUGGGACACUUCCACUUUCGCAAUGAGGCCCUGAGCUCCCCGCCUGGCCCCGUCUUGCCUGGUGUCUAAUCAGGGGGUCUGACGGAGGUGGGGUUGGAAAGAGAAGAGAAGAAAGUUGCCCACAAGUUGGGGGCAGGAGCUGCCCCCCAACUUUGGCGGCCACCUGGGGGUGUGGGCACCACUCCCCACCUCCCCACUACCGGCCUCCUCUCCCCCAGGCCGGGCAGUUGGUGCUUGUGGGGAAGCAGACGUUGGCUGUGGCUUUCAGAGCUGGGCGGCCAGGAGAUAAGGGGCUGGGGAGGAAGUGGCUGCAGAGGUGGGGGCAGCAGGAGGGGCCUCGGCUUCUCCCAGGGACCUCUGCUGUCUGCAGCCAGCACCCAGCCUCUCGGGGCAGGAGGGGCCUUUCCUUCCUUCCUAAAAGACCUAUUAGGGCCUACUGGGGUUCUUUCGGUGUCCAAGACAGCCCCUGGUCCUGCUCUCUGGGAACUAUAGGAGACACGUUCCAUCAACAUGGCCCAGCAUGUGGGGCCCAUAGGGCAGUUGGGGAAACUGUCCCUGGGUGGGCAGAGGGGCCCUAAGGCAGGCUUUGGUGAAUCUGUAGGAUGGCCAGAGAACUGGAGGAGGGUGAGGGGGCAGUGGGGGAGAUGACGCCAUGUGGGGGUGGGUGAGGAGGCCUUCCUUCAGGCAGGGUGUCUUAUGUUUGCCUUCUCUUCUAGCAUGUAGGAACCCCCCCACCCCCAACACACA
RNAcentral lists this long non-coding RNA (1638 nucleotides) under Homo sapiens (human). RNAcentral's name for it is "HSALNT0235396". The record is from RNAcentral. Lineage: Eukaryota; Metazoa; Chordata; Mammalia; Primates; Hominidae.